CGUGCGGGUUGGGGAGCGGGUGAUCCGGGGCGUACGCGGCGCGCAGCUGCGCAGCGAGGGUCUGCCGUUCUGGUCGACGCCCGCGCGGCC
This 90-nucleotide transfer RNA is filed under the name Paraplanobispora siamensis. RNAcentral's name for it is "Planobispora siamensis tRNA-Ala". Lineage: Bacteria; Bacillati; Actinomycetota; Actinomycetes; Streptosporangiales; Streptosporangiaceae. The record is from RNAcentral.